AGCAGCCGCGGUAAUUCCAGCUCCAAUAGCGUAUAUUAAAGUUGUUGCAGUUAAAAAGCUCGUAGUUGAAUUUCGGGGUUAGUAGGUUGGUCAUGCCUCCGGUAUGUACUGGUCUCACUGAUUCCUCCUUCCUGAUGAACCGUAAUGCCAUUAAUUUGGUGUUGCGGGGAAUUUGGACUGUUACUUUGAAAAAAUUAGAGUGUUUAAAGCAAGCUAACGCUUGAAUACAUUAGCAUGGAAUAAUGAAAUAGGACGUUCGAUCCUAUUUUGUUGGUUUCUAGGAUUGACGUAAUGAUUAAUAGGGAUAGUUGGGGGCAUUAGUAUUCAAUUGUCAGAGGUGAAAUUCUUGGAUUUAUUGAAGACUAACUACUGCGAAAGCAUUUGCCAAGGAUGUUUUCAUUAAUCAAGAACGAAAGUUAGGGGAUCGAAGACGAUCAGAUACCGUCGUAGUCUUAACCAUAAACUAUGCCGACUAGGGAUCGGAUGAUGUUAAUUUUUAAUGACUCAUUCGGCGCCUUAC
This 520-nucleotide ribosomal RNA is filed under the name uncultured Glomeromycotina. RNAcentral's name for it is "SSU rRNA". It matches the Rfam family "Eukaryotic small subunit ribosomal RNA", at positions 569 to 1091 of the family's 1831-position model. The record is from RNAcentral. Lineage: Eukaryota; Fungi; Glomeromycota.